CUCUCGGAGUGACGGGUACACUGUGGGGACCGCCGCUGCUAAAGCGGAGGAAGGAAUGGGCAACGGUAGGUCAGUAUGCCCCGAAUAUCCCGGGCUACACGCGAGCUACAAUGGUUGGUACAAUGGGUAUCUACCCCGAAAGGGGACGGAAAUCUCCUAAAACCAAUCUUAGUUCGGAUUGAGGGCUGCAACUCGCCCUCAUGAAGCUGGAAUCCGUAGUAAUCGCGUUUCAACAGAACGCGGUGAAUACGUCCCUGCUCCUU
This 263-nucleotide ribosomal RNA is filed under the name uncultured Methanosaeta sp. RNAcentral's name for it is "partial 16S ribosomal RNA". It matches the Rfam family "Archaeal small subunit ribosomal RNA", at positions 1075 to 1338 of the family's 1478-position model. Lineage: Archaea; Methanobacteriati; Methanobacteriota; Methanomicrobia; Methanotrichales; Methanotrichaceae. The record is from RNAcentral.